RNAcentral lists this ribosomal RNA (253 nucleotides) under uncultured bacterium. RNAcentral's name for it is "partial 16S ribosomal RNA". It matches the Rfam family "Bacterial small subunit ribosomal RNA", at positions 524 to 776 of the family's 1533-position model. The record is from RNAcentral.
UACAGAGGGGGCAAGCGUUGUUCGGAAUUACUGGGCGUAAAGGGCGCGUAGGCGGCCUGUUAAGUCGAACGUGAAAUCCCCGGGCUCAACCCGGGAACUGCGUCCGAUACUGGAUGGCUUGGAUUUGGGAGAGGGAUGCGGAAUUCCAGGUGUAGCGGUGAAAUGCGUAGAUAUCUGGAGGAACACCGGUGGCGAAGGCGGCAUCCUGGACCAAUAUUGACGCUGAGGAGCGAAAGCCAGGGGAGCAAACGGG